AGGUGCUUCCUGCUAGUAAGCUGUCACGCGAUCGUCAUGGAGUACAGUGCUCCUGACAGUGAAGGGUGCGCUUACAGUUAGCAUGCCCAGGUUACAGGUCUGACUCUGGGUUCUGAUUGGAAUGCUGGACGUUCAAACAGCAUUGCAGGGAGAGGACCUUCCGCUCUGAACCUUACUUUUAGUAACUGUAAUAAUUCACUUUUAACAACAACAACAAAACAACAACCUAGCAGUGGGGAUAAUACCUAAAUUAAGACGACUUG
RNAcentral lists this long non-coding RNA (263 nucleotides) under Rattus norvegicus (Norway rat). RNAcentral's name for it is "long non-coding RNA NONRATT012217". Lineage: Eukaryota; Metazoa; Chordata; Mammalia; Rodentia; Muridae. The record is from RNAcentral.